AUGAACGUUGGCGGCGUGGAUUAGGCAUGCAAGUCGAGCGCGAACCGUAGCAAUACGGGGGGAGCGGCGAAAGGGAGAGGAAUACGUGGAUACCUACCCUCAGGUUCAGGAUAGCUGUGGGAAACUACAGGUAAUACUGAAUAAUAUCUCCGGAUCAAAGGUGUGAUUCCACCUGAGGAGGGGUCCGCGUCCUAUUAGCUUGUUGGCGAGGUAACGGCUCACCAAGGCGAAGAUGGGUAUGGGAUGUGAGAGCAUGAUCCCACUCACUGGGACUGAGACACUGCCCAGACACCUACGGGUGGCUGCAGUCGAGAAUCUUCGGCAAUGGGGGAAACCCUGACCGAGCGACGCCGCGUGUGAGAUGAAGGCCUUCGGGUUGUAAAUCACUGUCAGAGGGGAGGAAGGCGCGGCCGUUAAUACCGGUCGCUGCUUGACGGUACCUUCAAAGGAAGCUCCGGCUAACUACGU
Molecule: ribosomal RNA, 468 nt
Filed under: uncultured bacterium
Lineage: Bacteria
Description: bacterial SSU rRNA
Rfam family: Bacterial small subunit ribosomal RNA
Source: RNAcentral